RNAcentral lists this transfer RNA (75 nucleotides) under Pseudomonadota bacterium. Its description in RNAcentral is "tRNA-Val". It matches the Rfam family "tRNA". Rfam says of the family: Transfer RNA (tRNA) molecules are approximately 80 nucleotides in length. Their secondary structure includes four short double-helical elements and three loops (D, anti-codon, and T loops). Lineage: Bacteria; Pseudomonadati; Pseudomonadota. The record is from RNAcentral. RNAcentral also lists the same sequence under 2 other names.
GGGCGAUUAGCUCAGCGGAAGAGCGCCUCGUUCACACCGAGGAGGUCGGAGGUUCAAGUCCUCCAUCGCCCACCA